UACGGAGGAUCCGAGCGUUAUCAGGAUUUAUUGGGUUUAAAGGGUGCGCAGGCGGAAGAUUAAGUCGGUGGUGAAAUUUUGCAGCUCAACUGUAAAAGUGCCAUUGAUACUGGUUUUCUUGAGUGUGGAUGAAGUAGGCGGAAUUUGUGGUGUAGCGGUGAAAUGCAUAGAUAUCACGAGGAACUCCGAUUGCGCAGGCAGCUUACUAAACCAUAACUGACGCUCAGGCACGAAGGCGUGGGGAUCAAACAGGAUUAGA
RNAcentral lists this ribosomal RNA (259 nucleotides) under uncultured prokaryote. RNAcentral describes it as "partial 16S ribosomal RNA". It matches the Rfam family "Bacterial small subunit ribosomal RNA", at positions 524 to 782 of the family's 1533-position model. The record is from RNAcentral.